Haliotis rubra (blacklip abalone) is the source of this 99-nucleotide long non-coding RNA. RefSeq lists it as uncharacterized. The record is from RefSeq and is a predicted model, not a curated record. NCBI's taxonomy places the organism in Eukaryota, Metazoa, Mollusca, Gastropoda, Lepetellida, Haliotidae. The transcript has 4 exons.
AAAAACAAUGAGAGAAUGUCUUACUGAUUCAAGUACAAAGUUCUGACAAGUGAUACAAAACAUGUUCAGUGUGUCUGACAGCUUGCUCUUAACUCUGAA